CACGUAGGGCGCAAGCGUUGUCCGGAAUUAUUGGGCGUAAAGAGCUCGUAGGCGGUCUGUUGCGUCCGCUGUGAAAACUCGGGGCUUAACCCCGAGCCUGCAGUGGAUACGGGCAGACUAGAGGUAGGUAGGGGAGAAUGGAAUUCCAGGUGGAGUGGUGAAAUGCGUAGAGAUCUGGAAGAACACCAAAGGCGAAGGCAGCAUCCUGGGAAGUUCCUGACGCUCGGGUGCGAAAGCCAGGGGAGCGAACGGG
Molecule: ribosomal RNA, 253 nt
Filed under: uncultured bacterium
Lineage: Bacteria
Description: partial 16S ribosomal RNA
Rfam family: Bacterial small subunit ribosomal RNA
Source: RNAcentral